Pelobates cultripes (western spadefoot toad) is the source of this 687-nucleotide non-coding RNA. NCBI's taxonomy places the organism in Eukaryota, Metazoa, Chordata, Amphibia, Anura, Pelobatidae. The record is from the annotation of a GenBank genome assembly.
GUGAAGUGGGACACUGGUGAUUGGAGUAAAAGGGAACUGGUGGCGACAUGGUUUUUGCCCAUAGAAUUGACAGGUCACGCAAUGCUGCCUGGCACUCAAGUAGGCCGGCCCACCAAGGGCAGAGAACAAUGCUUCAGGGUUUUUUGCCGGAUCCUAAUGCCCUGAGCAAUAGAUCAAGUUCAUCAGGAUAGGACCUAAAAAGUUGGACUUCCCUGAGGAGAGUUAGGAGGCCUUGUUCUAUGCAAAGGUAGGCUGGCCCCAUCUACAUCUUAAUUAACAACUGUCAUAUGCCAAUAUCUCAUAUAGAACUAGGUCCUUGGUUUAAUAUUUUUGGAUAAGCGUGUCAAAUGAUUGAUAUACAAAAAUUCCCAUACACUUUAACGGUGCUUUCUGCAGAUAAAUCAUUUGAAAAGCAGUUUUUUUUUUCUAACAGAUUGUGAUCAUCUGAAAUGCUGAUUCAAAUGAAUAAAAUUGAUGCUAGGUUCUGAUACCAAGCAAACAUAACUAAACCAUGGGAAUUUAUUAAUAUACUCUGCGCAAUACUCUGACAAGCUGCUUGAUGGUGACUCUCAACAGCUAUCUGUAGCUAGUAUGGUUCAAUGAAUUUCCUAAACAAGUCUGCCUUCAGGAGAAGACAUCAGAGAUUAUGUAAAAAGUGUAAUUCUGGUUCUAAGAAGAGUCAGUCAG